Aedes aegypti (yellow fever mosquito) is the source of this 578-nucleotide long non-coding RNA. RefSeq lists it as uncharacterized. The transcript is spliced from 3 exons. NCBI's taxonomy places the organism in Eukaryota, Metazoa, Arthropoda, Insecta, Diptera, Culicidae. The record is from RefSeq and is a predicted model, not a curated record.
ACUGCGUAGGACGUUAGGAAAUAUCAACUCACAACCGAACGUCCACAGAAUCCCAGGAGGAGAGUCACGAGAUUAGUACUCCUACAAUCACUCAGUUUCACCCGAAGCAAUCCGGGAGGACAGAAAGGCCCCAGAAGGGGCCUUUUUCCACACGUGGGAUACUGCAUACUAGACCUCCGGAGAGACGACGACGCAGACACAGGGCUGGAACAAGGAUUCGUUCUGUAGGCCUUCUCCAGUGAACGAACGCCAACGGCCCGCGGUGCUAGUGGGUCGGCCCCACUCGACGAUGCGGAUCGCACACCGAUUGCAAGUCGAAGGACGUGUAAACUGACCGCAGAGGUUGAUACCAGACAGACACGACAGCGCGUAUUUCUUUGCCCCAGGUGCCCAGCCUCAACUCCAAGCACGAACGGCCAUCUAGAGGGUCCUUCAGGUUUGCAUGCCCACGAGACACGGCGCGAAUCGAAUCGCCCAGCGAGAAAGGAUCCUGCGCAGCGGACGGCAUUGGUACAGGGUGAGGCAGCAGAGCGGUGAGCAAAUGCACAAGUUACUCUAAAACCACCAAAAUGAAGCAU